Molecule: ribosomal RNA, 508 nt
Filed under: Glomus sp. Glo23
Lineage: Eukaryota; Fungi; Glomeromycota; Glomeromycetes; Glomerales; Glomeraceae
Description: SSU rRNA
Rfam family: Eukaryotic small subunit ribosomal RNA
Source: RNAcentral
AGCAGCCGCGGUAAUUCCAGCUCCAAUAGCGUAUAUUAAAGUUGUUGCAGUUAAAAAGCUCGUAGUUGAAUUUCGGGGUUAGUAGGUUGGUCAUGCCUCUGGUAUGUACUGGUCUCACUGAUUCCUCCUUCCUGAUGAACCUUAAUGCCAUUAAUUUGGUGUUUUGGGGAAUUUGGACUGUUACUUUGAAAAAAUUAGAGUGUUUAAAGCAAGCUAACGCUUGAAUACAUUAGCAUGGAAUAAUGAAAUAGGACGUUCGAUCCUAUUUUGUUGGUUUCUAGGAUUGACGUAAUGAUUAAUAGGGAUAGUUGGGGGCAUUAGUAUUCAAUUGUCAGAGGUGAAAUUCUUGGAUUUAUUGAAGACUAACUACUGCGAAAGCAUUUGCCAAGGAUGUUUUCAUUAAUCAAGAACGAAAGUUAGGGGAUCGAAGACGAUCAGAUCCCGUCGUAGUCUUAACCAUAAACUAUGCCGACUAGGGAUCGGAUGAUGUUAAUUUUUUUAUGACUCA